UGCGUAGGCGGGCUAAUUAGUCAGUGGUGAAAACCUGCAGCUUAACUGUAGACUUGCCAUUGAUACUGUUAGUCUUGAGUACGGUCAAGGUAGGCGGAAUGUGUAAUGUAGCGGUGAAAUGCUUAGAUAUUACACAGAACACCGAUUGCGAAGGCAGCUUACUGGGCCAUUACUGACGCUGAGGCACGAAAGCGUGGGGAGCGAACAGGAUUAGAUACCCUUGGUAGUCC
RNAcentral lists this ribosomal RNA (230 nucleotides) under uncultured bacterium. RNAcentral's name for it is "partial 16S ribosomal RNA". It matches the Rfam family "Bacterial small subunit ribosomal RNA", at positions 568 to 796 of the family's 1533-position model. The record is from RNAcentral.